Molecule: ribosomal RNA, 283 nt
Filed under: uncultured delta proteobacterium
Lineage: Bacteria; Deltaproteobacteria
Description: partial 16S ribosomal RNA
Rfam family: Bacterial small subunit ribosomal RNA (bases 1-127)
Source: RNAcentral
GGGUCUGCGUUUCAUUAGCUGGUUGGCGGGGUAACGGCCCACCAAGGCAACGAUGGGUAGCCGAUCUGAGAGGAUGAUCGGCCACACUGGAACUGAAACACGGUCCAGACUCCUACGGGAGGCAGCACGCUGGAGUGAUACUAUCUGCAGUCUAUACUAGCGUGCCGUAACAGCCUGACAGUCUACGCGCACGCCGUCGUCGCACGGGAUGCAAGGUUGUUGCGAGAUCUGCUAAACGCUACGUGUCAGCAGAGGUGGAAGCACAAGGGGGUGGYGCUAAUCA